This 408-nucleotide ribosomal RNA is filed under the name uncultured bacterium. RNAcentral describes it as "bacterial SSU rRNA". It matches the Rfam family "Bacterial small subunit ribosomal RNA", at positions 612 to 1020 of the family's 1533-position model. The record is from RNAcentral.
ACUCCGGAACUGCCAUUGAAACUGUGAAACUUGAGGACGAGAGAGGUGAGUGGAAUUCCCAGUGUAGAGGUGAAAUUCGUAGAUAUUGGGAAGAACACCGGUGGCGAAGGCGGCUCACUGGCUCGUUUCUGACGCUCAGGCGCGACAGCGUGGGGAUCAAACAGGAUUAGAUACCCUGGUAGUCCACGCCGUAAACGAUGAACGCUAGCCGUUGGAUAGCUUGCUAUUCAGUGGCGCAGCUAACGCAUUAAGCGUUCCGCCUGGGGAGUACGGCCGCAAGGUUGAAACUCAAAGGAAUUGACGGGGGCCCGCACAAGCGGUGGAGCAUGUGGUUUAAUUCGACGCAACGCGCAGAACCUUACCAGGGUUUGACAUCCUGAGACCGCUCCUUAAUGGGAGUUUUCCCGC